GGCAAGUCUGGUGCCAGCAGCCGCGGUAACUCCAGCUCCAAUAGCGUAUAUUAAAGUUGUUGCGGUUAAAAAGCUCGUAGUUGGAUUCCUGUCUUCGGCCGGGCGGUGCCGCCCGAUAAUCAAGGGCGUCGCACUGCCUUGGGAGCGUUGGUGUCAAAGCCGCGCUCUUUUAACGGUCGGACAAUACCACCGGAGUGGCGGGGGAUAGGCGUCGGCUCUCGCAGUUCGACGCCGAAGGACCGCCCGUAAUCGUCCGAGGUGCCUUUAACCGGGUGUCUCGGGCGGCCGGUAACGUUUACUUUGAACAAAUUAGAGUGCUCAAAGCAGGUGCAUACCUUCGCCUGAAUAUCACAGCAUGGAAUGAUGGAAUAGGA
This 374-nucleotide ribosomal RNA is filed under the name Cercopagis pengoi. Its description in RNAcentral is "SSU rRNA". It matches the Rfam family "Eukaryotic small subunit ribosomal RNA", at positions 554 to 827 of the family's 1831-position model. Lineage: Eukaryota; Metazoa; Arthropoda; Branchiopoda; Diplostraca; Cercopagididae. The record is from RNAcentral.